CCUUCGAUAGCUCAGCUGGUAGAGCGGAGGACUGUAGAGUGUGAACAGAGUCAUCCUUAGGUCGCUGGUUCGAUUCCGGCUCGAAGGA
Molecule: transfer RNA, 88 nt
Filed under: Chelonia mydas (Green sea turtle)
Lineage: Eukaryota; Metazoa; Chordata; Testudines; Cheloniidae
Rfam family: tRNA
About the family: Transfer RNA (tRNA) molecules are approximately 80 nucleotides in length. Their secondary structure includes four short double-helical elements and three loops (D, anti-codon, and T loops).
Source: Rfam by way of RNAcentral